RNAcentral lists this ribosomal RNA (309 nucleotides) under uncultured eukaryote. RNAcentral describes it as "partial 18S ribosomal RNA". It matches the Rfam family "Eukaryotic small subunit ribosomal RNA", at positions 1470 to 1796 of the family's 1831-position model. The record is from RNAcentral.
CCCUUAGAUGUUCUGGGCGGCCCGCGCACUACAUUGGCACUGGCAACAAGAUCCUAGAUCUGGUAUUUCGGGGUAUUCUACCAACUGGUGUCGUGACUGGGAUUAACCCCUGCAAUUAUUGGUUAUGAACGAGGAAUUCCUUGUAAUCACGGUUUAUCAACCCGUGUUGAAUGCGUCCCUGCCCUUUGUACACACCGCCCGUCGCUCCUACCGAUGAAUCGUCCGGUGAAGUUCAUGGAGUCGCGGCUGCUCCAGCUGUUUUCGAAGUGAAAUGGACCUCAUGAUUUAGGGGAAGGAGAANUCGUANCA